AGUGAGGAAGAUUACCCAUUUACCAGGCUGCUAGACCAGGGAAGCCACUGGAGGCAGGGAACGCUGACAAAGCCACUGCACCGGGAGCACCAGCGUUCUAAAUACCCCAGCUGACUGCUGAGAAGGGCUUCGCAGAGGGGCCACCCGGGAAGGAGAUGAUUCCAGUAGUCCGGAAUGGACCUCUUCUCCUACCAGCAUUGCACCGCUAACAAGAUCCUAACCUAUUCCAUCUUAUUUCACAAAACAUACUUGAAGAAGGCGAGGGGGAAGAUUGAGAAUCUACCAUCUAGGAAAACAGAGAUGGGAAUGCAGCUUGGACUGGAAAAGGAAGCUUUCUAAAGCCUGCUUCUGUAAGGACACAGGUUCUCUGGACCCAGAGUCACAUACUGGGAAGGAAGAGAAGCCUUUGGGUAAACAUCAUGAAUUUCCCUGGAGCAACUACUCUAUUUAAGAUUUUAUCUAACAUUUUUUGGAAAGAAGGGAAUAGGUUUAAAAAAAUAAUUUCAAAAGUGUAACAUCUAUCUAUGCUCAUUUUAGACAAUUUGAUCAGUAUAAAAUAUUAAAUAAGAAAGUAAAAACCACUUGGACUCUUACCUGUCAGAAAUAACCACUAUAUAACUGGAUUUUGGUGAAUAUCUUUUAAUUGUGUGUGUUUGUGAAUAUGUGUUUGUAAUCCAAAUUUUUUAAAAUUUGAGACUAUAUUCUAGUCAGCUUUUUAUGUCAAUGGAUUUAAGAAUAUGUUACAUCAUUUUAAAUGUAAUGUAUGGAUAUACCACACUUUAUUUAACCAAUACCCUAUUAAUGAAUAUUUAGUAUGUUUUCUUUUCUUUCU
Long non-coding RNA from Cercocebus atys (sooty mangabey), 832 nucleotides. RefSeq lists it as uncharacterized. NCBI's taxonomy places the organism in Eukaryota, Metazoa, Chordata, Mammalia, Primates, Cercopithecidae. The transcript has 3 exons. The record is from RefSeq and is a predicted model, not a curated record.